GCAAAUAUCCUGGUAACCUCAAAUGGCCACCUUAAACUGUCAGACUUCGGUCUGAGCGAAGUUGUCGCCUUUACAGUGACUGGCACAUGUGGAACUUUUGCAUAUAUGGCUCCUGAGAUGAUAAUAGGAGAGCCAUAUACUUAUUCCGUGGACUGGUGGUCCUUUGGAAUAACUUUAUUCCAGAUGCUAACUGGUCAGCUACCAUUUUAUGAUGACGAAGAGAGAAAUUUGUUUGAAAACAUCGUGUAUACGACCCCUGACAUCCCCGAUUGGCUGGG
This is a long non-coding RNA of Stylophora pistillata, 278 nucleotides long. NCBI's taxonomy places the organism in Eukaryota, Metazoa, Cnidaria, Anthozoa, Scleractinia, Pocilloporidae. The record is from RefSeq and is a predicted model, not a curated record.